AGACAGGUUAGUUUUACCCUACUGUUGACCCGACUCCGCCAUAGUAAUCCGGCUCAGUACGAGAGGAACCGCCGGUUCGGAUAAUUGGUAAUGCGCUCGCCUGAAAAGGCGUUGGCGCAACGCUACCAUCCGUCAGCUAACCGCUGAACGCCUCUAAGCUGGAAGCUAUGCUAGGCGCGGAGUCAUUUUCCCAAUGGACGUUGUUGCCAACGAUAGGACUCUUUUAUAGAGUUCCAGAAGCAUAUUCUAUGACAAAUCUCAUUCGUUCAUUGGGGUAAAUCCCUCGCAGACGACUUGGACCGUUCGGAGUAGCGUAAUCAGUAGAG
Molecule: ribosomal RNA, 326 nt
Filed under: Minutocellus polymorphus
Lineage: Eukaryota; Bacillariophyta; Thalassiosirophyceae; Cymatosirales; Cymatosiraceae
Description: partial Eukaryotic large subunit ribosomal RNA
Rfam family: Eukaryotic large subunit ribosomal RNA
Source: RNAcentral